GACGAACGCUGGCGGCGUGCCUAAUACAUGCAAGUAGAACGCUGAAGCGAGGAGCUUACUCUUCUUGGAUGAGUUGCGAACGGGUGAGUAACGCGUAGGUAACCUGCCUUGUAGCGGGGGAUAACUAUUGGAAACGAUAGCUAAUACCGCAUAACAAUGGAUGACACAUGUCAUUUAUUUGAAAGGGGCAAUUGCUCCACUACAAGAUGGACCUGCGUUGUAUUAGCUAGUAGGUGAGGUAAUGGCUCACCUAGGCGACGAUACAUAGCCGACCUGAGAGGGUGAUCGGCCACACUGGGACUGAGACACGGCCCAGACUCCUACGGGAGGCAGCAGUAGGGAAUCUUCGGCAAUGGGGGCAACCCUGACCGAGCAACGCCGCGUGAGUGAAGAAGGUUGUCGGAUCGUAAAGCUCUGUUGUAAGUCAAGAACGGGUGUGAGAGUGGAAAGUUCACACUGCGACGGUAGCUUACCAGAAAGGGACGGCUAACUACGUG
Molecule: ribosomal RNA, 497 nt
Filed under: uncultured bacterium
Lineage: Bacteria
Description: partial 16S ribosomal RNA
Rfam family: Bacterial small subunit ribosomal RNA
Source: RNAcentral